ACUGACGUUUCAGAUCCAGGUAUCAAUGUGACAUCAGUUUUAUCGCUUUCAGGACGAUAUGAUGGUUAAAUAUUUGCCAUCCAGCAAACUGACCUGACGUCGACGUCAUUUUCGGAAGAUGGAAGAGGUAUUAAAUGGCUAUGUAACUAACCCAAACCCUACUCCUACUCUAACCCCUAACCCUAAACAAAUUAAUAAAAAAAUCAAAAAAGAAACAACUUUAGAAAAUCGAUAGGGCGGUUUGCUGGAUGGAAAAUAGUGCUAACCCGAUAUCAUAAAUGUCACGAGCGAGUGCAUAAACAUGUCCCUUGUUCGCUGUGCUCACUCCUCGUCAUCCCUCAAGCAACAUACUAAAACUGCUAUCGCCUCACCCCUCAAUCAUAUGAUAACUCUCGUGAUAAACUAUAAUUAUAUCAAGUAUAUCAGAAUUAGAUUUAUAUCAUUUCAACUCAGACACAUCACAAAUUAUUGAAAUUAACACAAACUAUCCCAGAGACUUACAUUUAAACAAUUCAACUGCAUUAUUUUUGAUAUUCGUCAAAGCCGUCGAACAUUGUGGACUAAUUAAUGAAUCGUCAUUCCGAAGUCUCGACUGAUUUAGCUGGUUGACCAAAACAGAGCGAUAUGAAGCAAAUACGUUUUCUCCAAUUUGGUCUUGCAAAAGUAGCUGCGUUGCUAAUAUAUCAUUGUGCACUACUUCCAUAUCUGCUCUCGCGAGAAGAGAGCAGAAAAGAAAAGUUAGCAGUGAAAUCGCACAUGAAGUAAAAGCUACCAUAUUUUCGAGUAGUUUCGCCGGCAGCUCUGCCUUUUAUAAAUUGCAAUUUUAAUACGGUAUACAGCGAUACAACACCAGCAAAUAAUUAUU
Non-coding RNA from Paramuricea clavata, 865 nucleotides. NCBI's taxonomy places the organism in Eukaryota, Metazoa, Cnidaria, Anthozoa, Malacalcyonacea, Plexauridae. The record is from the annotation of a GenBank genome assembly.